UACAGAGGGUGCGAGCGUUGUCCGGAAUCACUGGGCGUAAAGGGCGCGUAGGCGGCCUGGUAAGUAGGGGGUGAAAUCUCAUGGCUCAACUGUGAGGCUGCCUCCUAGACUGCCGGGCUUGAGCAUGGUAGAGGCUGGUGGAAUUCCCGGUGUGGCGGUGUAAUGCGUAGUGAUCUGGAAGAACAUCCGUGGCGAAGGCGGCUAGCUGGGCCCUCUGCUGACGCUGAGUCGCUAAAGCGUGAGGAGCUCACAGG
This 254-nucleotide ribosomal RNA is filed under the name uncultured bacterium. RNAcentral's name for it is "partial 16S ribosomal RNA". It matches the Rfam family "Bacterial small subunit ribosomal RNA", at positions 524 to 776 of the family's 1533-position model. The record is from RNAcentral.